RNAcentral lists this ribosomal RNA (256 nucleotides) under uncultured bacterium. RNAcentral describes it as "partial 16S ribosomal RNA". It matches the Rfam family "Bacterial small subunit ribosomal RNA", at positions 524 to 776 of the family's 1533-position model. The record is from RNAcentral.
UACGUAGGGCGCAAGCGUUAUCCGGAAUUAUUGGGCGUAAAGAGCUCGUAGGCGGUUUGUCGCGUCUGCCGUGAAAGUCCGGGCUCAACUCCGGAUCUGCGGUGGGUACGGGCAGACUAGAGUGAUGUAGGGGAGACUGGAAUUCCUGGAUGUAGCGGUGAAAUGCGUAGAGAUCGGGAGGAACACCAGAGGCGAAGGCGGCAAGCUGGAUGGGCACUGACACUCGAACUGACGAAAGCCGUGGGGAGCAAACAGG